RNAcentral lists this ribosomal RNA (367 nucleotides) under Thalassiosira rotula. Its description in RNAcentral is "SSU rRNA". It matches the Rfam family "Eukaryotic small subunit ribosomal RNA", at positions 621 to 993 of the family's 1831-position model. Lineage: Eukaryota; Bacillariophyta; Thalassiosirophyceae; Thalassiosirales; Thalassiosiraceae. The record is from RNAcentral.
AAAAAGCUCGUAGUUGGAUUUCUGGAGUGACCGGUCACGCACUCUGUGCGUGAACUUGUGUUGUCUCUGGCCAUCCUUGGGGAGAUCCUGUUUGGCAUUAAGUUGUCGGGCAGGGGAUACCCAUCGUUUACUGUGAAAAAAUUAGAGUGUUUAAAGCAGGCUUAUGCCGUUGAAUAUAUUAGCAUGGAAUAAUAAGAUAGGACUUCGGAACUAUUUUGUUGGUUUGCGUUACGAAGUAAUGAUUAAUAGGGACAGUUGGGGGUAUUCGUAUUUCGUUGUCAGAGGUGAAAUUCUUGGAUUUCCGAAAGACGAACUACUGCGAAAGCAUUUACCAAGGAUGUUUUCAUUAAUCAAGAACGAAAGUUAG